RNAcentral lists this small nucleolar RNA (94 nucleotides) under Aspergillus cristatus. RNAcentral describes it as "A. fimigatus snoRNA Afu_298". It matches the Rfam family "A. fimigatus snoRNA Afu_298". The record is from Rfam by way of RNAcentral. Lineage: Eukaryota; Fungi; Ascomycota; Eurotiomycetes; Eurotiales; Aspergillaceae.
UGGAAUGAUGAAAUUUUUUAACUCGUAGCAUACCUUCAAGGGAUGCUUUGAAGAACAAAAACCGCAACAACAACACUCUAAUUUUUUGCUGACU